Pelobates cultripes (western spadefoot toad) is the source of this 203-nucleotide non-coding RNA. NCBI's taxonomy places the organism in Eukaryota, Metazoa, Chordata, Amphibia, Anura, Pelobatidae. The record is from the annotation of a GenBank genome assembly.
GGGGUACUGUUUUACUCGGAAGACUUCGCUGUACACAAAUAUUAGUGUUUCAAAACAGUAAAACAUAUCACAACGAUGAUAUUCUCAGUGAUAGUGCGGUUUUUUUGUGUUUUUGCAUUUUUUACACACAAACGCCACUUUGACUUACUAUAUAAUUGUUGUGAUAAGCUUUACUGUUUUGAAACACUAAUAUUUGUGUUCCA